RNAcentral lists this ribosomal RNA (247 nucleotides) under uncultured bacterium. Its description in RNAcentral is "partial 16S ribosomal RNA". It matches the Rfam family "Bacterial small subunit ribosomal RNA", at positions 523 to 769 of the family's 1533-position model. The record is from RNAcentral.
AUACGAAGGGGGCUAGCGUUGCUCGGAAUUACUGGGCGUAAAGGGAGCGUAGGCGGGUUAUCAAGUUGGAGGUGAAAGCCCAGGGCUCAACCUUGGAAUUGCCUUCAAAACUGAUAACCUUGAGUAUGGGAGAGGUAAGUGGAACUCCGAGUGUAGAGGUGAAAUUCGUAGAUAUUCGGAAGAACACCAGUGGCGAAGGCGACUUACUGGUCCGUGACUGACGCUGAGGCUCGAAAGCGUGGGGAGC